This 460-nucleotide ribosomal RNA is filed under the name uncultured bacterium. RNAcentral's name for it is "partial 16S ribosomal RNA". It matches the Rfam family "Bacterial small subunit ribosomal RNA", at positions 338 to 795 of the family's 1533-position model. The record is from RNAcentral.
CCUACGGGAGACUGCAGUGAGGAAUAUUGGUCAAUGGACGAGAGUCUGAACCAGCCAAGUAGCGUGAAGGAUGACUGCCCUAUGGGUUGUAAACUUCUUUUAUAUGGGAAUAAAAUGUUCCACGUGUGGGAUUUUGUAUGUACCCUAUGAAUAAGGAUCGGCUAACUCCGUGCCAGCAGCCGCGGUAAUACGGAGGAUCCGAGCGUUAUCCGGAUUUAUUGGGUUUAAAGGGAGCGUAGGUGGAUUGUUAAGUCAGUUGUGAAAGUUUGCGGCUCAACCGUAAAAUUGCAGUUGAAACUGGCAGUCUUGAGUACAGGAGAGGUUGGCGGAAUUCGUGGUGUAGCGGUGAAAUGCUUAGAUAUCACGAAGAACUCCGAUUGCGAAGGCAGUUCACUGGACUGCAACUGACACUGAGGCUCGAAAGUGUGGGUAUCAAACAGGAUUAGAUACCCCUGUAGUC